GUAGGUGUGGGUUAAGUAUGAUUUUAGCGAUUAAAUCGUUUCAUUGCGAAGUGUAACAUUAUCUGAAAAUAUUCCAAGAUUACUGAAAUGUUAAAUAAAUCCAAGAUGGCGGCUAAUGCUAAAAAUCGGCGAAACAAUUUAUGCAAAAUAAUUUGAGAGCAGAAUUUUUCAGUCAAAAAGAUAACAUUACGUGAAGGAUGGGUGUUUGUUGCGGAGCUGCUCCUGGAGGAGAUCUUGCAUUGCUGAGUCGCAGUUCAAUGCAGUUGGUCCAGCAGAGGAAGGAUUAUCAUAAUUUAAAAUGAGGAUAUGCUGUCAUCGUAACUUUUACACGUCUCAGAAAUUCUCCCUUAUAGGUAUACAAAAGAAAGAAGUCCUUUUAUAAAAAGGAUAUGCUGUCAUCGUAUCUUUGACACUAAAAAUUCCCUCAUAUAGCUCCAUUCCAAUUUUCCAAAUAUCUGAAGAGACUAGGAGGGAUGUGGAAGAAGAAAAGUGGCCCCAGCAUAUAUGUUUUUUUUAAUAAAUUUUUUUUUCUUUUUUCUUAUUUUUUUUUUUAUA
This is a long non-coding RNA of Leptopilina boulardi, 555 nucleotides long. RefSeq lists it as uncharacterized. The transcript has 6 exons. The record is from RefSeq and is a predicted model, not a curated record. Lineage: Eukaryota; Metazoa; Arthropoda; Insecta; Hymenoptera; Figitidae.